CCUACGGGUCGCAGCAGUGGGGAAUAUUGCACAAUGGGCGCAAGCCUGGUGCAGCCAUGCCGCGUGUACGAAGAAGGCCUUAGGGUUGUAAAGUACUUUCAGUUGGGAGGCAGGCGUUGAUGCUAAUAUCAUCAACGAUUGACGUUACCAACUGAAGAAGCACCGGCUAACUCCGUGCCAGCAGCCGCGGUAAUACGGAGGGUGCAAGCGUUAAUCGGAAUUACUGGCGUAAAGCGCACGCAGGCGGUUGAUUAAGUUAGAUGUGAAAUCCCCGGGCUUAACCUGGGAAUGGCAUCUAAGACUGGUCAGCUAGAGUCUUGUAGAGGGGGGUAGAAUUCCAUGUGUAGCGGUGAAAUGCGUAGAGAUGUGGAGGAAUACCGAUGGCGAAGGCGGCCCCCUGGACAAAGACUGACGCUCAGGUGCGAAAGCGUGGGGAGCAAACAGGAUUAGAUACCCGAGUAGUC
This 464-nucleotide ribosomal RNA is filed under the name uncultured bacterium. Its description in RNAcentral is "bacterial SSU rRNA". It matches the Rfam family "Bacterial small subunit ribosomal RNA", at positions 338 to 795 of the family's 1533-position model. The record is from RNAcentral.